Molecule: transfer RNA, 72 nt
Filed under: Sterkiella histriomuscorum
Lineage: Eukaryota; Ciliophora; Spirotrichea; Sporadotrichida; Oxytrichidae
Description: tRNA-Gln
Rfam family: tRNA (bases 1-52)
About the family: Transfer RNA (tRNA) molecules are approximately 80 nucleotides in length. Their secondary structure includes four short double-helical elements and three loops (D, anti-codon, and T loops). Further hydrogen bonds mediate the characteristic L-shaped molecular structure. tRNAs have two regions of fundamental functional importance: the anti-codon, which is responsible for specific mRNA codon recognition, and the 3' end, to which the tRNAs corresponding amino acid is attached (by aminoacyl-tRNA synthetases). tRNAs cope with the degeneracy of the genetic code in two manners: having more than one tRNA (with a specific anti-codon) for a particular amino acid; and 'wobble' base-pairing, i.e. permitting non-standard base-pairing at the 3rd anti-codon position.
Source: RNAcentral
AGCACUCUGGACUUUGAAUCCAGCAAUCCGAGUUCGAGUCUCGGUAGAACCUAGACUUUUUAUAUUUAUAAC